GCAGCCCCAGGAGGUCCUUGGCAUCUCCAUCAGCUGACAGCCCUGGAAACAUUCACCAUUCCUCAGUACGGCCAGGGUCUUCUUCAGGCUCCAACAGGAUGCAUCUGUCUCCCUUGACAGCUCCAGCCCAAUUGAGCUGCAGGGCUGGCCUUUUAUACUUCCCCUUCCUGUCUUGCCCCUCAGCUUCCAGCAGGUGAGGUGUGGCAGGCAGCACAUUGUGGCUCCUCCUUGUCAAUCUCUGGGGGUGGCUACACCUCCUCACUACAAAACUUCAGCAGUCAGCCCCACAAUGCCGCAGACAGUUAAGUUGGUGGAAAUGCUCCUGCUGAGGACGCGCACCACUAACAGAAGGAGCAUAGUGUCGAUGGGAAACAGUGCUUUGAUUACUGCGGUGGCUGUAUAUUGACUUAACUGCAAAGAAGGGAUGAUCGGGAAUGGAAACCUAUCUUUCAAGAAGAGACUAAAGGAGCUUGGCUUGCUUAGCCUAGCAAAGUGAAGGCUAAGAGGAGACAUGACUGUUCUAUAAAUUACAUUUGGGGGUAAAUACCAGGGAAGGAGAAGAGCUAUGUAAGCUAAAGGACAAAGUUGACACAAGAACAAAUGGGAAUAAGUCCAUGAAUAAAUUUAGAUUGGAACUUAGAAGACAAUUUCUAACAAUGAGAUUUUGGAACAGCCUUCCAAUACAAGUUAUGGGAGCUAACAACUUUUAAGAUGGAGCUCGAUAAGUUUAUGAAUGGAAUAUUAUCAUGCAGUUGCCUAUGACAGCAUGGACUAGACUCAGUGACCUAGGAGGUCCCUUCCAGAACUUUUUCCAAUUCCAAUGCAUCUUUUUUGAGAUGGGGAGACCACAUCUGCAUGCAGCAUUCAAGAUAGACACCUUUGAAAGAAAAGCUCCCAAGGGAGCUAAUCGAGAGUGAAACUGAGAAUAACUCUGAAAAGCAAACAAUGAGGUUUAUUGCAAGUGACAAAGGAAAGGGACUACUGAAUUAUUGUUUAUGUGAUUUUAUUGUGUUAAAGUGAAUAUUAAGAUUAAGUUACUUACUUUUAGCAUGUCACUUUGUAUAUGUAAAGAAAAAAAGAUAAUCACUUCAAAGGAUCAUUGUCAGAAAUAAGUGAUAUGCAAUGGUAAAUUGGCUGGAAAAAUGGAGUAGUACUUAGCUGACAUUUGUUGAAUAGAGAUUUUAUUCCCUCUGAGAAAACCCUUAAGAACUGUGUCCACAGUUCAUCAGCCUCAAAGUAAAUGGAAGUAACGUCAAACCAUACUAGUAUAACUUUGAAAGCAAACAGCUUGUGCUCAGGGUAUGACUGUUGCUGGAAGUCACAUUGUCUAGAUGAAUGUAGCUGAUAUAUAAUAGUCAGAUAUAGGACUAAGGAUGAGUGAACUACAAAAGACUUAAAAUGUGGGUUUAGUUCAGAUAAACAUAGUAAAAGUUUGGAUGCUCAUCUGCAAUUAUCUGAACUGUGUGUGUCAGAAAGACUGUUGUAAGUCUCAUGAGAAACAGGCUUGUUUGUGAGAUUACUAGCACUUCUGUUUCUGAUCCCAGCUGGAAUAGUAUGAGAGCAGCCAGCUUCUUGCGUGGUGUUUUGCUUUCAGAAGCUGGCAAAAGAUCACUUCUAAAAAUGGAUGGAAGUUUGGGGUGAGACCGUUAUUCUAUCCAAACUUGUUUGCCUAUCCUUUGCUGCUGAAACAGACAAUGGAAAGGAAAGCACAAAAUAUAGUGGAAAUUAGUUUUCUGUACAGUACAGAAUGCUCAGUAAGAGUUGUCAGGUUUAUUUAAGUAAAAAGGAAAUUAAAUACAGUACCUUUGAGAUAACAGUUAAGUGGCUGAUUUUGUAUUUUUUUUUUUCCUCAUAGGGAUGGUACAAGGAGGGAAAAAACAGGAGGGAAACAUCCGAUAUUUGCAUAUUUUACAAGUAAAGAAAAUUGUCCUUUCCCCCUUAAGGGCAAAGACAAUUUUCAAGUUUCAUUUAUAAAAAUUUACUGAGUCCAUAAUGACCCCUCUCAAUUAAACCUACCACCUCACACAGACAACUGUGAUGACCACAGGGCUUGGCCCUAAAAUGAUGGGGUUUGUGUACAUAUAACUCAUUGCAUGAUUGGGGCCUUAGGCAUACACACAGGGUAAAAUUUUCCAAAAUGUCUAAAUAUCUUAGGAGCCUAAAUUCCAUUUUCAAAAGUGGCUUAGACACUUUGGAGCCUAAGCCUCACUGAAAGUCAAUGGGAUUUAUGCUUCUAAGUCACUUCUGAAAUAGAAUUUAGGCUCUUAAAUCAUUUAGGUGCUUUAGAAAAAUGUUACCACACUGCUAAAUGCUUUAUGAUUACAUUUUAUUUUAAUGACAAAUACAUUGUAGAGAAUAUAUGUGUGCACGUGUACUGAAAUAAAUAAUUUAUUUCUUAAAAUGCUUCACAAAUGAAUUAAAAUAAAAAGAUCUAUACAGUUAUCAAAUUUAUAGGGCCAGAUUAACUCAUGCUUUUCAGUGGUACAAAUCUU
Long non-coding RNA from Dermochelys coriacea (leatherback sea turtle), 2492 nucleotides. RefSeq lists it as uncharacterized. The record is from RefSeq and is a predicted model, not a curated record. NCBI's taxonomy places the organism in Eukaryota, Metazoa, Chordata, Testudines, Dermochelyidae. The transcript has 3 exons.